UGCCAGCCGCCGCGGUAACACGGGGGGCGCAAGCGUUAUUCGGAAUUAUUGGGCGUAAAGGGCGCGCAGGCGGUCUUGUCCGUCAGGUGUGAAAGCUCGGGGCUCAACCCCGGAAGUGCACUUGAAACAGCAAGACUUGAAUACGGUAGAGGAGAGAGGAAUUCCUGGUGUAGAGGUGAAAUUCGUAGAUAUCAGGAGGAACACCGAUGGCGAAGGCAUCUCUCUGGCCCAAUACUGACGCUCAUGGUCGAAAGCAUGGGGAGCAAACAGGAUUAGAUA
This 279-nucleotide ribosomal RNA is filed under the name uncultured bacterium. RNAcentral describes it as "partial 16S ribosomal RNA". It matches the Rfam family "Bacterial small subunit ribosomal RNA", at positions 506 to 784 of the family's 1533-position model. The record is from RNAcentral.